UACGUAGGGUGCGAGCGUUAAUCGGAAUUACUGGGCGUAAAGUGUGCGCAGGCGGCCGAGCAAGUCGAGUGUGAAAGCCCCGGGCUUAACUUGGGAAUUGCGCUCGAAACUACUUGGCUGGAGUGUGGCAGAGGAAGGUGGAAUUCCGCGUGUAGCAGUGAAAUGCGUAGAUAUGCGGAGGAACACCGAUGGCGAAGGCAAUCCCCUGGGCCUGCACUGACGCUCAUGCACGAAAGCGUGGGGAGCAAACAGG
This 253-nucleotide ribosomal RNA is filed under the name uncultured bacterium. RNAcentral describes it as "partial 16S ribosomal RNA". It matches the Rfam family "Bacterial small subunit ribosomal RNA", at positions 524 to 776 of the family's 1533-position model. The record is from RNAcentral.